GAUGAACGUUGGCGGUGUGCCUAAUACAUGCAAGUCGAACGAAGUUGAUAGCGAUAUUAGCUUAGUGGCGAACGGGUGAGUAACGCGUUGGUGAUCUGCCUUGAAGUGUGGAAUAACGUUUCGAAAGGAACGCUAAUACCGCAUGUGCUCUCGAUUUUCAGAAAGUUGAGAGUAAAGGAUUUAUUCGCUUCAAGAGGAGCCUGCGUCCCAUCAGCUGGUUGGUAGGGUAACGGCCUACCAAGGCUAUGACGGGUAGGGGACCUGAGAGGGUGGCCCCCCACAAUGGAACUGAAACACGGUCCAUACACCUACGGGUGGCAGCAGUAGGGAAUAUUAGAAAUGGACGAAAGUCUGAUCUAGCAACACCGCGUGUGCGAAGAAGGCCUUCGGGUCGUAAAGCACUUUUGGAAGGAAUAGGAAGGAAUGUACUUCCAGAAUAAGUCUCGGCUAACUACGUG
This 458-nucleotide ribosomal RNA is filed under the name uncultured bacterium. RNAcentral's name for it is "bacterial SSU rRNA". It matches the Rfam family "Bacterial small subunit ribosomal RNA", at positions 28 to 507 of the family's 1533-position model. The record is from RNAcentral.